CUCGAAUUCCUCAUAUUGAGUAGCUCAACGAAAACAACAACAGUCUCCUCGGACCAUAUCGCAUAAUUCAAAGCUCAUCUUACCUGGAAAUCCCUUCUACUUAUUGAAUAUUUGGCAACGUCAAGCGCAGCUAAAAAACAUCGCACACGCACUGAUUCACGUGACUGUGUGUUCUUCCGGUCAGUGGUCUUUCUUCACUUUUCCGGCUGUUGUCUUGGUUGAACGAGGAGACUCCAACACAUGAAGGCAUGCUAUACAUAUGCUGUCAAAUACUGCUUCCCCACCUACAUCCCAAAAAUGCUCUAUUGACUCUUCAACCCUUCUAAGAACAGAGGAUAAUCGCAAGUUCCUUAAGUUUCUUAAAGCUUGCCGCCGUUAUCGGUGUUAACCAAGACGAAUCUAUACCUGGGGUCACCUUUCCGGAAAGAAGGCAACGCCUUGUUGAUAUCGUUGAAGUUCCACUUCUGGAUCCAAGGCUUAAUGUUGUGCUUAAGAGCAAAUUCGAACAUUUCAGUAAUCUCCUUGGGGCUACCGAUGUUGGAACCAGCGACGCAAGCGCUGUGCAUGAUAAGAGGGAAAGCAGGGACUUGUAAAGGGGUGGGGAUGACGCCAACGAUGCAGAAGACACCGGCGGGGGUGAGAAGGGGGAGGUAGUCGCUGAUGGGGAAACUCUCAGGAUCUGAUAGUACAGGGAUCAGCAUACAAGUUGGGGUAAAAGUCCAUUGACGAUGAUGACUUACUGAUUGUACAGAGGAUAAAGUCGAGAGAUCGAGAGCGAUCCUUGACAGCCUCCUGCAAGUUGCUACCGGCAGCAAAGUAAUCGGUAGCGCCAAGCUUGAAGGCGUCCUCCUUCUUCGCAUCACUUCGAGAGAUGGCGGUCACCUCAGCGCCCAUGGCCUUGGCAAAAAGGAUAGCCAUAUGACCCAGACCGCCGACACCGAUGACACCGACGCGCUUACGCUUGGUGCCGACUUCGAAGCGAGCGAGGGGGCUGUAAACGGUGACACCACCACAAAGCAUGGGUGCCGCAACGUCAGGCUCGAGGCCGGAAGGAAGGGGGACAGCAAACUUGGAAGGUCCUCGCCAAUACUUGGCAAAACCACCUCGUGAGAUGGACCCUUUGCCAUUGGGACCACGGUUGUAGGGGUAGUUGAAAGUGAUGGUUUGGGUAGCACAGUAGUUUUCCUUGCCUAGCAUGUACAUAUCAGUAUGUGCAUGUUGGAUCGUGACAGAGAUGACUGACCUUCCUUGCACCAUUCGCAUUCACGACAAGAGUCUGAUUGGGCACCAAUACCAACGAGGUCACCGAUUUUGAGGCCGUUUUCGGGAAAGGUGCCGAUCCUCACAACUUCACCAACGAUUUCGUGGCCACAAACCUGGGGGCAGAUGUCCUUGACAGGUCCCCAUUCACCAGUUAAAGAGGAGACAUCUGAACCACAGACACCACAGUACAAAAUCUUAACUGUUGACAUGUCAGCUCCCGCGGCUUUCCUUAUUCCAGGAGGCAAUACUUGCCAUCAACGUCAUCUUCAUCCCACUUCUUGGGAGCGAACUCCUGGAAUGACAGGUUGCCGUCGCAGGCCUUCUCGUCCAAACCAGCCCAGCCUUUGAAUUCGUUGUCGGCGACCAUUGUGAUUAUUGUAAUAUUCAGCUGUAGUGGAAGUUACACGAUUUGAUGGAAGGGUUUGGAUAGAUGAGCAAGGGGAGUCUUAUAUAGCUCUGGCAAGU
Molecule: small RNA, 1728 nt
Filed under: Cryptococcus neoformans H99
Lineage: Eukaryota; Fungi; Basidiomycota; Tremellomycetes; Tremellales; Cryptococcaceae
Description: Cryptococcus neoformans var. grubii H99 hypothetical RNA
Source: RNAcentral